This is a non-coding RNA of Pelobates cultripes (western spadefoot toad), 202 nucleotides long. The record is from the annotation of a GenBank genome assembly. Lineage: Eukaryota; Metazoa; Chordata; Amphibia; Anura; Pelobatidae.
GUUGUAUGCAUUCAGAACGACAAAAGCACCCUCUACAAAAGAAGUCUAAGUAUGGCUAGUGCAACAUAAAGGGAUACUAUAGACAUCGAAAUAAAAUUUGCUUAAGGAAGCAGUUUUGGUGUAUAUAUCAUGCCCCUGCACUCUCACUGCUCAAUUAUCUGCCAUUUGAGAGUAAAAUCACUUUGUUUAUACAGACCUAGUC